CCCUCAUAACUCAGUCAGUAAAGAAUCUGCCUGCAAUGCAGGAGACCCAGGUUCGAUUCCUGGAUUAGGAA
RNAcentral lists this transfer RNA (71 nucleotides) under Bos taurus (domestic cattle). It matches the Rfam family "tRNA". Rfam says of the family: Transfer RNA (tRNA) molecules are approximately 80 nucleotides in length. Their secondary structure includes four short double-helical elements and three loops (D, anti-codon, and T loops). RNAcentral also lists the same sequence under 3 other names. Lineage: Eukaryota; Metazoa; Chordata; Mammalia; Artiodactyla; Bovidae. The record is from Rfam by way of RNAcentral.